This 449-nucleotide ribosomal RNA is filed under the name uncultured bacterium. RNAcentral describes it as "SSU rRNA". It matches the Rfam family "Bacterial small subunit ribosomal RNA", at positions 26 to 518 of the family's 1533-position model. The record is from RNAcentral.
AGAGUGAACGCUGGCGGCAUACUUAACACAUGCAAGUCGCACGGGCAGGGGAACUCUGUCAGUGGCGGACGGGUGAGUAACGCGUAGGUAUCUAUCCUCGGGUGGGGGACAACCACGGGAAACUGUGGCUAAUACCGCAUGAUGACUGAGGUCCAAAGGCGCAAGUCGCCUGGGGAGGAGCCUGCGUCCGAUUAGCUUGUUGGUGGGUAAAGGCCUACCAAGGCUCCGAUCGGUAGCUGGUCUGAGAGGAUGAUCAGCCACACUGGGACUGAGACACGGCCCAGACUCCUACGGGAGGCAGCAGUGGGGAAUAUUGGACAAUGGGCGAAAGCCUGAUCCAGCAAUGCCGCGUGGGUGAAGAAGGUCUUCGGAUUGUAAAGCCCUUUCGACGGGACGAUGAUGACGGUACCCGUAGAAGAAGCCCCGGCUAACUUCGCGCCAGCAGCCGC